AGCACCACAACGGGUGGAGCUUGCGGUUUAAUUGGAUUCAACGCCGGAAAUCUUACCGGGACCGACAGCAAUAUGAAGGCCAGGCUGAAGACUUUGCCGGAUUAGCUGAGAGGUGGUGCAUGGCCGUCGUCAGUUCGUACUGUGAAGCAUCCUGUUAAGUCAGGCAACGAGCGAGACCCACGCCCACAGUUGCCAGCGUACUCUCCGGAGUGACGGGUACACUGUGGGGACCGCCGCUGCUAAAGCGGAGGAAGGAAUGGGCAACGGUAGGUCAGUAUGCCCCGAAUAUCCCGGGCUACACGCGAGCUACAAUGGUUGGUACAAUGGGUAUCUACCCCGAAAGGGGACGGGAAUCUCCUAAAACCAAUCUUAGUUCGGAUUGAGGGCCGCAACUCGCCCUCAUGAAGCUGGAAUCCGUAGUAAUCGCGUUUCAACAGAACGCGGUGAAUACGCCCCUGCUCCUU
This 464-nucleotide ribosomal RNA is filed under the name uncultured Methanosaeta sp. RNAcentral's name for it is "bacterial SSU rRNA". It matches the Rfam family "Archaeal small subunit ribosomal RNA", at positions 875 to 1338 of the family's 1478-position model. The record is from RNAcentral. Lineage: Archaea; Methanobacteriati; Methanobacteriota; Methanomicrobia; Methanotrichales; Methanotrichaceae.